CUGUUGUUGAGGAAGAUAAUGACGGUACUCAACAAGGAAGUGACGGCUAACUACGUGCCAGCAGCCGCGGUAAAACGUAGGUCACAAGCGUUGUCCGGAAUUACUGGGCGUAAAGGGAGCGCAGGCGGGAAGACAAGUUGGAAGUGAAAUCCAUGGGCUCAACCCAUGAACUGCUUUCAAAACUGUUUUUCUUGAGUAGUGCAGAGGUAGGCGGAAUUCCCGGUGUAGCGGUGGAAUGCGUAGAUAUCGGGAGGAACACCAGUGGCGAAGGCGGCCUACCGGGCACCAACUGACGCUGAGGCUCGAAAGUGUGGGUAGCAAACAGGAUUAGAUACCCUGGUAGUCCACACCGUAAACGAUGAUUACUAGGUGUUGGAGGAUUGACCCCUUCAGUGCCGCAGUUAACACAAUAAGUAAUCCACCUGGGGAGUACGACCGCAAGGUUGCAACUCAAAUGAAUUGAAGGA
Molecule: ribosomal RNA, 467 nt
Filed under: uncultured organism
Description: bacterial SSU rRNA
Rfam family: Bacterial small subunit ribosomal RNA
Source: RNAcentral